Equus caballus (horse) is the source of this 1313-nucleotide long non-coding RNA. RefSeq lists it as uncharacterized. NCBI's taxonomy places the organism in Eukaryota, Metazoa, Chordata, Mammalia, Perissodactyla, Equidae. The record is from RefSeq and is a predicted model, not a curated record.
UGAAAAUAAAUACGAAUGCAAUACAAAAAAUCAUUUCACUUACUUUCAACCUUCCUGUUUCUUUAUAAUUUUAGUGUCUGUUAUCCAGUCUGAAAAUAUUUGUCUUUUAAUUGAUGUGUUUGCCAGGUAAUUUUUCUUUUCCAGAUCUCCUCCUCACCAUUCUUUCUAUCCUGGUUACUGCCCCAAAGCUGCAUCAGUUGGGCUCCCAUGACAUCUGGAUUCUAGUUGGGUUCAGCCUUGGGGAACCCAGCAGGAGGUAAAGGAAGGAGAGAGAGUUGACUUGGACAGAUUGUAUCCCUUGGUUGAAGACCACACCUCCCCAGAACGGAUCUCUUUCAUCUCUGGCCAUCUCUUCCUCCCCUCGUCCCUUCAGACCUCAGGAGGGACCAGCGUGGCUGCCGUGCUUCAGGCUGCUGCCCUGGCCUCUGUAACCACACGCUGGUAAACUUCUGCUUCAGAAAUCAACUGUCCUCGUAGUGUCCUAUGCACAGGAGGAAGCAUGAUUCAUCUGAUCGAUGAAUUUGGAAGAACAAUUUGGGCAUGACUGGCACAGUCCUUUCCUCCUCUAUUUCUGCGGCAUCUAAAUGCUUCCAGAGACUCAGCCACUUGGCCUCCUUCUAUCUGGGUGAACCGAGGAGUGAGGGAGAGGAAGCGAGUUGCAUUUGUCCAUCUGCAUCUGUGAUUGGGUAUUUGAAUGGUAUUUUGGGCCAAGAGAGAAUUUCCACUGUGGAAGAGCUAAACUCUGUAUUUGUCUGCUUGAGCUGCUAUGACAAAGUAACACAGACUGAGGGGCUUAAACAUAAGAAAUUUGCUUCUCACAGGUCUGGAGGCUGGAAGUCCAAGAUCAGGGAGCCAGCACUCUUGGGUUCUGGUGAGACUUCUUUCUGGUUUGCAGACUGCUCCCUUCUUGCUGUGAAUUAACAUGGUGGAGAGAGCUUGAACCUUGGUGUCUCUUUCUCGUGUUGUAAAGGCACUAAUCCCAUUAUGAGGGCCCCACUCUUAGGACCUCAUUUAAAUCUAACUAUUUUCUAAAGGCCCCAUCUCCCAAUAUCUUCACUUUAGGGGUUAAGACUUCAAUGUAUGAAUUUUCUACACAAUCUCUUUCAGAAAGUAGAAGAACAAUGCAUAGUUCCCAACUAAAAGUAGAGAUUCAUGUGCUCAUAAACAUAGAAACAAAAAUCUUUCAUCAACUCCAGCUGUAUAUAAAAGUAACAGCUUACUACAACCAAGGGGCUUUUAUCCUAUGAAAGCAAGAUUGGUUUAAUAUUCAAAAAUCAUUCACUCUAAUCCACCAUAUUAACAAUGAAAGAAGA